UCCCGUGUGGCUCAGUUGGUAGGGCAUGGUCUUUGCAACGCCAGGGUUGUGGGUUCAAUUCCCACACGGGAC
RNAcentral lists this transfer RNA (72 nucleotides) under Salmo salar (Atlantic salmon). It matches the Rfam family "tRNA". From Rfam's summary of the family: Transfer RNA (tRNA) molecules are approximately 80 nucleotides in length. Their secondary structure includes four short double-helical elements and three loops (D, anti-codon, and T loops). The record is from Rfam by way of RNAcentral. Lineage: Eukaryota; Metazoa; Chordata; Actinopteri; Salmoniformes; Salmonidae.